RNAcentral lists this long non-coding RNA (701 nucleotides) under Homo sapiens (human). RNAcentral describes it as "non-protein coding lnc-CADM2-3:5". The record is from RNAcentral. Lineage: Eukaryota; Metazoa; Chordata; Mammalia; Primates; Hominidae.
ACAAAACAUCAAGCCAACAGUUCAGGACUAGUCAUUCAAAUGGACUAAAGGUGGGGGAGAAAAAAUAAGAGUGGAUAAAAGAAAGAAAGAAAACAGAGAAAGGUGGGAAAAAAAAAACAAAGGAAGGAAGAGAGAAAAGAGAAUGAGAGGAAGAGAAGGAAGGGGAAAAACAAGAUUGACUUUACAGUAUGAGAUAUACUAUUAUAUAUUGGACCCUUGGUGGGCAGUGCCUAAACAGAGACAACUACAGGUUUCUGGCUGUGGCCACUCUCUGGUGAAACUAAGGGGUUUCUGUGUGGAGGUGCCUAACAGCCACCGUCCAGUUUGGUAGUAUGAUGCCUCUGGCUUCCCUCUAUCACACGUCUUCUUUUCGAGUAAAGGUUUUUCAUAAAUGUGAGCGUGGAAGAAGAAACCAGAUGGUGUCAGAAGCGGAUCCGAAGUGGAACUUUUAGUGACCCUCAGGAGCACUGAAUGAACAUGCAAGGAACCUGCAGGACCCACUUGUGUCCAUUGAUCUCUGGGAGCAGCUGGGAUAAGCUCCUUUUCGGAUUUCAGAGCUCCAUGGACUUGUGUCUUGAGAUCCCUGAGUUUCUUUGAGCAAAUUUCUGAUCCAAAAUGGGUUUGGCAUCAUGGCAGAAACAGGACUGGGUCCACGAAUGGAUUUGAUCCAGGAAUGAACUGGCUUGGAUCCAGUCAGAGGU